Molecule: ribosomal RNA, 754 nt
Filed under: Dichotomopilus sp. RK-2018a
Lineage: Eukaryota; Fungi; Ascomycota; Sordariomycetes; Sordariales; Chaetomiaceae
Description: partial large subunit ribosomal RNA
Rfam family: Eukaryotic large subunit ribosomal RNA
Source: RNAcentral
GAGUUGUAAUUUGCAGAGGAAGCUUUAGGCGCGGCACCUUCUGAGUCCCCUGGAACGGGGCGCCAUAGAGGGUGAGAGCCCCGUAUAGUUGGAUGCCUAGCCUGUGUAAAGCUCCUUCGACGAGUCGAGUAGUUUGGGAAUGCUGCUCAAAAUGGGAGGUAAAUUUCUUCUAAAGCUAAAUACCGGCCAGAGACCGAUAGCGCACAAGUAGAGUGAUCGAAAGAUGAAAAGCACUUUGAAAAGAGGGUUAAAAAGCACGUGAAAUUGUUGAAAGGGAAGCGCUUGUGACCAGACUUGCGCCGGGCUGAUCAUCCGGUGUUCUCACCGGUGCACUCGGCCCGGCACAGGCCAGCAUCGGUUCUCGCGGGGGGAUAAAGGUCCCGGGAACGUAGCUCCUCCGGGAGUGUUAUAGCCCGGGGCGUAAUGCCCUCGCGGGGACCGAGGUUCGCGCAUCUGCAAGGAUGCUGGCGUAAUGGUCAUCAGCGACCCGUCUUGAAACACGGACCAAGGAGUCAAGGUUUUGCGCGAGUGUUUGGGUGUCAAACCCGCACGCGUAAUGAAAGUGAACGUAGGUGAGAGCUUCGGCGCAUCAUCGACCGAUCCUGAUGUUUUCGGAUGGAUUUGAGUAGGAGCGUUAAGCCUUGGACCCGAAAGAUGGUGAACUAUGCUUGGAUAGGGUGAAGCCAGAGGAAACUCUGGUGGAGGCUCGCAGCGGUUCUGACGUGCAAAUCGAUCGUCAAAUCUGAGCAUGGGG